Thunnus maccoyii (southern bluefin tuna) is the source of this 1244-nucleotide long non-coding RNA. RefSeq lists it as uncharacterized. NCBI's taxonomy places the organism in Eukaryota, Metazoa, Chordata, Actinopteri, Scombriformes, Scombridae. The record is from RefSeq and is a predicted model, not a curated record. The transcript has 3 exons.
UCAGUAUCUGGUACAAAUCAGAAAAGAAACAGCAGUUCCUUGUUAUUUACUGUUAUCCCUGACAAGACAGGAAACACAAGAUACGAUGGAGACAGACUCGCAGAGACGUCAAUGAGCAAGAAUUCACCUGUUGUGUCUCCGGUCUACAUGAAGAUCACUGUCUCUGAAACUGAAAGGGGGUGACGGCCGCCAAUAGGCGAAUGAACCCAGGAGCCACGAUGGAGAGACUGUGACAGAGUGGACAUGAACAGUAGAGGGUCCACUGUCAAGCUGGAGGUGUCUUCAUCUUCUGUACUGUACUAUGGCUGUGGGACAGGCUGCUUUUGUAAAUACAGUACAAUCACAUGAGUCAAUUAAAUGUAUAUAGAUCAGUUUGAGCACAACAUAAGUAUGUGACCAGUGAAAUACAAAAGAUAACUAACUUUCCUCCUUUGUUCUGUAUGACUAUGAAUGUCACUUCACAAUUAAAUAAAGUUCAGAAAAUUAUUGUUCUUCACAUACAAUGUAUCACUAGACUAAACAGUUUGUCCUCUAGAUAAAUUUAAGUUUAAAUUAACUAUUAGUUACAAAGAGGUCAAAUAUACAACAUAAACAUAACAUAAACUUAGGAUAUGGCUAAAGCAAACCAAACUUUCAAUCAUGAGUAAUCAUACUACCUCAUCUCUGGCCCGGCCUUUAUGUACUCUCAUUGUUGUUAUAUAUCUAUGUUUCUUCUGUAAUGUAGUUAUGUAUUAUCUUGAAUUGUAUUGUAUUGUAGUACUUGUUAAGCAUUGUACUAAUUUGUAAUAACCUGCCCAGAGACAACAGAUGAAAAUUAGCUCAUUAUCUCAACACUGGCACAUUUACAUUAACGUGGAAACUGAAAUGCUGAUUAAUGUGCACUCUCCCUUUUAAAUAAAUAAAUUAACAAAUAAAUAACACUAGUGGCGGUACUUAAUUUCACCAGAUAGAAACUAUAAGAAGUUGAUUUCUUCCCACUUGUAUUUAGUUAAUCCAUACCACAUGUCUGGAGGAAAGUCAAACAUGAUGCUGGUGUCUGAGGCUCAGCUCUGAUCAGCCGAUUCUUGUCUCUAAAUCUCUGUAGCUACUGUCUGUGAGUGUCCUGAGAUCACAGUAAACAGUACAAUAAAGGCCAAUCCAUGCUUUCCAGGUCAGGUAAAUGUCGUCAUCAGCCCUUGUCCAUGAGGGUUCACACAGCAGCCCAAAAUUAGUGACCACAUGAACUGUACGCGUUGCAAGUGUGC